GAAAGAGGGCGAGGGGGCUGAUGCUGAAAAACCAGCCGAAGAAAAGCCUGAAGAAGAUGAUGCCAAGGAUGAAGUAAAAGAAGAGGAAAAUAAAGAAGAAGAAAAGAAAGAAGAAGAAGUAAGUAUCGAUUUUUUUUAUUAAUUUUUACACAGGUAUAUAUAGUUUUCUUAAAUAAAAUCUAUCCAAGUUAGUGCACUGCCAAGCUGUUUCUUCGCAGGAGAUGAUUGCCUCGCUAUUCUACACGGCAAUGCAUCCAGUGUUCUUGGCAACAAUACCUCACGGAUUUAUUUAAAUUUUGUAUUAAGUUCAUUUUAAUUUUGCUUAGUAAUUAUUUUUACAAUUUUAUUUAGCCCGAAGAAGUAAGUGGCAACAAUUUUUCACGACAAGUGCAAAUUGUACCUAUAUUUGUUUUAUUUUUUAAAAUACAUAAUGCAGGUAUUAUCUGUAUCUAAUUUGUUUUAGUGGGUUUUGGUUAAUAAAAUUUUGCAUAGCUGUUAUGCUUAUUUCCAAUUUAUCGGUGUGUGUACUGUUUGUUUGUAAAUGCUUUAAUGCACAAAGAAAACACGUACGAAUGUAAAUAUACAUGGAUUUUAUACAUAUAUUUUACUUCAUAAUCCAUGUUGAACCGAUUCUUGCAAAUUAAUUUCAGGAAAAGAAGGACGAAAAAGAAGCAAAGGAAGAAGAAAAGGAAGAGAAGGCAGAAGAUAAAGUAAUUUCUUUUUUAUUUUUAAAAUCUUUUAAAAGUUAGUCAAUUAUUUACUUAUUUAUUACAAGUUUGCACUAAACUUUUUAUUGGUAAAUUUUAUAUUUCAAGAUAAAGUAAUUUCUUUUUUAUUAUAAAUAUUAACAUGGUUACUUAAUUGUCAAAUAUGUUUGUAGUAUACAGGACAGGACACAUAUAUAAAAUGUACAUAACAGACACAUGUAAUGUGUCACUGACUUAUAUAUAUAUGUAUAGAAUACAAUAAUUCAAAAGUAAUUAAUUUUUAAUUUUAAACAAUUAUAUAGUUGAUUAAUUAUUUAUUAUAAAUUUGAAAUUAAGUACUUAAUUUAUUGUUGGUAUUUCUAUUUCAGGAGAAAGUAAUUUCUUAUUUUAUAUUAAUUAGUUUUAUUUUAAAUAAUUAUGUAGUUAGUUAAUUAAUUAGUUAAGUUAGCUAAUACUUGGCUGCUUAUUUUAUUAUUGGAAAAUUUUCUAUUUCAGGACAAAGUAAUAAGUUCUUUUUUUUUAAUAUUUACACAGGGUUAUUUUUAAAACACCAAGCUCGCAGACAUGAUGUCAGCUUUCUUGUACUACGAGAUUUCUCGUGUUGUAGAAGUAAUCCUGUAUAGUUAGUUGAGAAUUUCGUUUUUUAUUAAGUUUGUACGUAGCUGUUUAAUACAUUGUUCGUAAAUUUUCUAUUUCAGGAUAAAGUAAUUUACUUUUUAUUUUUAAAUAAUUAUAUAGUUAGUAUAUUUAGUUAUUUAUUAUAAGUUUGAAAUUAAGCACUUAAUUUAUUGUUGGUAUUUAUAUUUCAGGAUAAAGUAAUUUCUUUUUAUACUAAUUAAUUAAUUAGAUAGUUAUUUGGUUAAUUAUUUAUUUUAUAUUUAAACUUAGCUACUUAAUUUAUUGUUGGAAAAUUCUCUAUUUCAGGAUAAAGUAAUUUCUUUUUUUAAAAAUUAAUUUAUCGACAUAAAAAUUGUUUUACAAAGAAAAGUAGGCAACAGAUUAUAAUGAAAAAUACUCCAUUGACAAGAACCUCGUUCAUAAACUAAUUGAUUGUGACGAUCUAUACUAUUUUAUAUCUAUAAUAAACUAUCUAUACUUAACUAUAUUAUAUCUAUAGUAAUAUAUAUUAAGACGUUUAGGGUGAUAAAUGGGUGAUAAUGAAAAUACCUCCAGAAAUAAAUUGAAAAAAUCUUAUUAUUUAUAAAAUUUUGUUUUUCCAAGUUAAAACAUAUAUCUGAACAAAUGUAUGUAUUAUGGUUCUUUAAUGAAUAUACUGGCUUUUAAUUAAUUAUUAUUAUUUUUUUUUAUUAUUAUUUUUAGACCGUUAAA
This is a long non-coding RNA of Plodia interpunctella (Indianmeal moth), 2036 nucleotides long. RefSeq lists it as uncharacterized. The transcript is spliced from 9 exons. Lineage: Eukaryota; Metazoa; Arthropoda; Insecta; Lepidoptera; Pyralidae. The record is from RefSeq and is a predicted model, not a curated record.